RNA transcript from Cicer arietinum (chickpea), 1814 nucleotides. RefSeq lists it as uncharacterized. The record is from RefSeq and is a predicted model, not a curated record. Lineage: Eukaryota; Viridiplantae; Streptophyta; Magnoliopsida; Fabales; Fabaceae.
ACAGUAACUAUGAACACUGGUUGAAGAAAACAGGUUACUAUAUGGAUGGGUAGGUUUUAGGUCCGAAAUUCAUAUGCUUCUUUUGUUCGUGUUUCAAUUUCAAUCUCCAAAAAUUGCUGAUAAAAGUGUUGAGUAUGGCGACGCAAGUGAGCUGCGAUGUUGACUACGUAACCACCUUACAAGCCAGGGUCAAGGAAUUAGAAGCGGAGAAUGCAAAUCUUUUAUCUCGACUUGCUGAUUGCCAUUGCUCUAAGAUAGAGAAAAAGUUAUAUGGUCAUGAUGGGAAAGCCACGGAACCGAAAAAAGCCAACAAGAAAUCAAAAGAGAAGAUAGAGAAAAAGCCAGGCUAUAACACAAGGUUUAUGAGUAAUCAUAGCAAGAGAUAUGUAGCUUUAAAAGUCAUGUACUUUGGAAAAAGGUUCUAUGGUUUUGCUUCAGAGGCACAAAUGCAACCAACUGUAGAGUCUGAAAUUUUUCAAGCUCUUGAAGAAGCAAGGCUAUUGGUUGGUGAUAAGAAGGAGUCACAGUAUUCGAGAUGUGGUAGAACAGACAAAGGGGUUUCCUCAGUUGGACAAGUAAUAGCUCUUUUUCUAAGAUCAAGGCUCAAAAUAUCUGGAGUAAAUAAUGGGAGUUCUGGAGAUAUUGUUUUAGAAGAACAACACGAAGGAGAAAUUGAUUAUGUGAGGGUACUAAAUCGAGUCCUUCCCAAUGACAUUCGAAUUCUCGGCUGGUGCCCUGUUCCUGUGGAUUUCCAUGCAAGGUUUAGCUGUUUAAGCAGGGAGUAUAAGUAUUUUUUUUGGAAAGAAAAUUUGAAUAUCCUGGCUAUGGAGAGUGCUGGAACAAAGUUUCUAGGAGAACAUGACUUUAGAAACUUCUGUAAAAUGGAUGCAGCUAAUGUGCACAACUACAUGCGGCGCAUCACAAUGUUUAAGAUUUCUCCAACAGAUGUGAGUUAUGAUGGUAAUCAACUUUGGGCAAUUAAAAUCAAAGGUAGUGCUUUUUUAUGGCAUCAGGUUCGCUGCAUGGUUGCUGUUCUCUUCUUGGUUGGCAAAGGUCUUGAAUCUCCAGAUGUUGAUUACCGAUUUGCUACUGGACACUAACAGAAUCCCCAGAAAACCCCAAUACACUAUGGCUUCAGAGGUUCCUUUGGUUCUUCAGUCCUGUGAAUUUAAGGAUGUCAAGUUUAUGUGUUCAUCAGAGGCGGGAGAAGCGCUGCACUCACACUUGGUUAACGAAUGCAAAAUUUACCAGCUUCAAGCUGCAAUCUUUCACGAAGCUAUUCUUAAUAGUGUGCCUCCAUUACAUGAUCAAAUUCUGCCUGCAGUUCGAGAAUCCAAGAAGAAAGCCUCUCAUAUCCCUCUCAUGUCACGACCAACUGAGCCAUCUUAUGAAGAACGACGCGCCAAACUCAACUCGUGUACAUGAUGAUUUCACUGGUCAUCUUCAUUAUAUAGCUCUUCUAUAGAGGUUGUAUUAUUAAAUGGUAACUAUAUAUUUCAAUUUUUGGGGUCCGGUUUUUGAUGCGGUGCACUUGUUUCUGAGGUUUUCAAGCCUCCACCAGAUGACAAUUGUGAGCAGUUCUCAUGUCAUAAUCAUCUUGGAUCGAAUUAAUGCAUAUAGCAGGUAACUUGCUGUGCAGACAAAGAUGAUAGCGCUAGUCAUCUACUGUGUGGUUGUAACAAUUUGCAGCUAACCUGUGUAUGCUAGAUAAAUUAUUAUUUUUGCUAUAUAACUUAUGUCUAAAAAGAAUUCUUCCUGUCAACGUAUCAAUUAUUAUAAUGAGUAAAUAUUAAAUGAAUUUGGUCCCUUAAAGA